GAUGGGCAGUGCACACUUGAGGGCACGCAGCAAGUCGCUUACAUUAAAAGUCAGUCAUUGUCCACAGUUGGAAAAUCACACACGUGCUAUAAAUGCGAUCGUGAAAGAGACAUCAGCACUUUGGAGCAAAAAGGUGCUGAAUGUCAUUCUGAGAAACCCUUUCCUCCAAGUGGUUACAGCACUCAUCUGGAAGGCGGGAGACCUGGCACCCAAACUGGGCACCCAAACCCUCAGAACUGAAGAGCCAGUGGGACCCUGUCACACGUCAGCAGGUUCAGGAGCUCCCUCCUCGGCUGGUGAGGACAUCAGGGGCCGAUGGAGGAAAAGGGGAUGGGACAACCUGGAAGCAGCACCUGUGCCAGCAGGUGGGUAAUACAGAAAUUAGGUGUUUCUCAUCUUUUACCUUCAAAAAUUUAUUUUCUUGCUCAUAAUAUUUUGUGACUAAAACAAGAAAUUGCGAAAAGACUUCAAGUCUGUUAAGUAAGAGAAGGUAAAACAAAGCACGUAACUUUGGGUUGAAAGGAAUGUCUCCUAUUGACUGCAGUCUUUCAUGGUUUUGUGUUCUGUCAAAUCCUCCCUCAGUUUCUGUUUGGGUUGGAACUGAGCCUUUUCCUGCCCUGCUCCUUUCCCUGCGUGACAAAAUCUGAAUUCAGGCAGGUUGUUUAACAACUUGGCCAAGCCUAGAAGGCCAUCGCUGGCCCACGGUUGCCGGGAAGAGCAGGAGGUGCGUGUCAGAGCAAAGGGAUUCUUUCCAUCCACGUCACUGUCGUUACAUCACAUGAAGAAUCACCUCUCACUGGCAAAAGCCUCAGGCGCUGCCGAGGUGAGUCCUGGGGCUGCAGGGCUUGGAGCAGCCUGGGCUGGUGGGAGGUGUCCCUGCCCAGGGCAGGGGGUGGCACUGGAUGGGCGGUAAGGUCCCUUCCAACCCAACCCAUUCCAUGGUUCUAAUUUCAUAUGUGCUGGUACCACGAGUGGCAACACAUUUAUACACAUGGGUGUUGUACAUGGCAUUACUCUUAGCAUGAGGGAGGGGAACCAGGCCUGUUAUUUACAUGACACCCACAGACUGCAGGCCCCAUUCCUGCCUGUCUUAUUCCAAUUAAACUCCAAAACUCCAAGAUACAAGCAGGGUUUACCUAAAAUUAGAAUCAGCCCUUAUGUAAGAAUGUGAAAACCAUGCCCGAGUAAUGCAUUUCUGUUUUCAUGAUGUAAACUCUCAUCCCUCAAGCUGCUUGUGGGAAGUGGCAGCUUGUGCUCACACCUCUGCCCACCCAACGUGGCACACACGCUGCCUGCAGCUUGCAGGGCUCGGCUCUUUAAAUACGUUCAGAAAGUCUUAAAUGAUAUCAAAAUCGAGGUUUCUGAGAUUUACUUACGUGAAAUAAGUUCUUCCUUCAAAAUGUCAAGUUUGGCUUCUGUUCGGUCAAUCAAUUUGCUCUGUGUGAGCAAGGAUAACGUACAUAAAAUUUAUAAAUAAUUACGGUUUCAUACAGAAAUCAGGCAGCUCCUUUUCUCCUGCAGUAGAAACUUCACUCUAGCUCUGAUCUCGACUUGCCUGCGCCUGUCCCUCUCCUGCGGCUGCGGAUCCCUCAGCUCUCAGCUGUCUCUGCUCCGUCCCCUGGGGCCGUUCCGCCUUCAUUCCCUGGGCAGCCCUGCCCCUGGCUGCGGGCAGGGACCCAGCGCUGGGCGCAGGAGCUCCAUCCUCCCUGGGGGCAGCAGCUCACUGCUUUCUCUGGCUCUGCUCUCUCCUGUAACCCUAUAUAUAGGGUCCCUCCCCCCUCGGCGGCUCUGCUCGCCCAGUCUCCUCCAUUGUGUGUGUGCAGGUAUUUCACGGGAGACAUAAUUACUCUGGCUCCUACGGGCUGAGACGAGCAGGGACAGGAUUAAGUCCCUCCCGGGGCACAGCACCCCGAGUACCUUCCGAACAGCACGUGCGAGGAGGAGGAUAAUGACUGUAGGUGCUCGUUAGGUUAAUGGUGAAUAAAGCACAGGUGGUUUGCUGGGGAGCAAACAGAGCGCUCUGCUCAGUUCUGGGUGUGCUGGAGCAGGAAAUGGGAAAUAAACCGGAAUUAUUAUGGGAAGAUUCUCACGUGAGCAGAAUUUGGAAAGAAUGAGAGCGUGACGUUUAGUAGAAAGGAACCGGAGGGGCACAAAGCUAAAAUAAAGGAAUACAGAGAGAAAAUACAUCAGACAGCUGGUUUCUGAUUUUUCUCGCGUUCUGUGAGCCCAAGGGCACGGUGGACACACCAAAAGGCUGCAGCAGCCACAAAAUCCACAGUGAACAUGCGGAAUGUUCCUUCCAGGCAACAGGUAAAUGUAAAAUAAGAAACCCACAGCUGCCCUGGGUAAUGUGGGAUUGCUUUCCUUGCUCACCUUUGGUGGCCAUGACCAAGGGAGCUGUUUCCCUGCAGCACCGAGGGCUGGUGCCACCGCAGGGUUCUCCGUGCCAUCCCCUGGAGCGCGUUGAGGGCGCGUUGAGGGCCGACCCACGGGGCUGUUAGGAAGGAGUGUGAUUUAGUUGGGCAAUUGGUCCGUGCCCCAGCCUGCCCCGCCAGCAGGAGAAGCCAGAGGGACUGGCUGACCUCUCCGAGCAGGACUUGG
This is a long non-coding RNA of Calidris pugnax (ruff), 2601 nucleotides long. RefSeq lists it as uncharacterized. The transcript is spliced from 3 exons. Lineage: Eukaryota; Metazoa; Chordata; Aves; Charadriiformes; Scolopacidae. The record is from RefSeq and is a predicted model, not a curated record.